AAGAGGACAGUUUGUUUGAAAUCCUUGAUGCUCAUGUCCUGAAGGAGGCUUCCCAAGAAGACAUUGUAACAGUUGCUAAACUCACAAAUAGAUGCUUGAAUCUUAAUGGGAAGAAAAGGCCUACAAUGAAAGAAGUAGCCGUGGUAUUAGCAGGGAUUAAAGCAUGCGAUGGAACUUCAAAUAUUAUCCAAGAAAGUGUUGAGAGCGACAUAGCUGAAAGUUAUGAAACUGGUGAAUCUUUCACCGAAUCAUAUACUGAUAGUGUCACUAUUCCGGUGGAUGCUGAUCCUCUAAUUUCAAAAAAUGGUGAGGACUGAGGAGAUUCUCAAUAAUGUAACUGAAAGUUUCUAUGCAGUUGAAUUUCAAGUUAUAUGUUAGAAUAUUUCAUGUUUAAUAAUAAUCAAUAUGUUUGAAUUUCAUUUCAUAAUUAAAAUUGGGAGACUUUUAGUAUUGUUUACUUCCAUUUACUACGCUUUUGAGAAUCUUGCGCCUCAUGACUUCCAUUUAUUGUGGACCCAGACGGGUAUUUCAUAAAUCCGCGUCCCAAUUUACAAGAGGCUAUAUAAAUUCUGGUGGUCCAGGCUACUUCAUAUGUGAUUUUCUAAUUACUGGGUUAGAAUUAGAGAAUUUUCUGUAUGGGAAAUUUGUUCUUUGUAAGGAGUUCUCGAAUUGUUGUGCCAUAAUAGAAGCUUGCUUAAUGCGUGUUUAUAGUGUGAGAUUAGGCAGUUUUGGCUGAGCCAUUCUAGUCUAUGAUUUCUAGUUCUUUUCUCUGCUCUUGGUUAUUCAAUUUAUUGUCGUAUCAUCCUCAAAGUUUGUCUAUCGUUGGACUGGACGUACCCAAAAAUCAUGAAAUGGAUCCAAUAAUUUUAAUGCUGGUGUCUAUUUUAGAUCAACUGCAUUGACAUAAAAAAUUUUCAUAAUGGUAUAUACGUUGUAUCAAGUCAUACACGAUACUCGCAAGGGAUUUUUAGGAUAAGAUGACUGGAGUCCCUUCAAGCGCAGAUUUUCUAUUUAGCAUUUUACUACCCUUGUAAAUCUCCUACUCUCUCUUUUCAUUAACAAAUUUGAUCAUUUAUAUUAAAUAAGUCAUAAUUAAAAUGGUUUUCACUUCCGUCAUAAUAAAAUAUUAAAAUGCUCAAUUUCAGCACCAUCUCAUCAAUGUAAUUUGGGUUGACCAAGAUCCUUUGGUCUUUGCUAGAGAACAUAUGAAAAUAGACAGAGAAAAAUAAAAUAACAUAAAAUAAAACAAAAGGGAAUAAGAAAAUGAGUAGUAGAGCUGCUUAUUUUUUAUUAGUUUAUGGGUGGGGCUAUAUAUUUACAACCUGAAAAAUACUCUGACCACUCAUUUACUUGGGACACUCAUUCAUUGUAAUUUAAAAAUAGUUAAGUUUUACUUUGUACCCUCUUAAAGUUCCAAACAUAUCCUUAAAGCUUCCUCUUUGUUUCUUCUUCGUAUAUUCUUAGCACGAAAACACCCAAGUCAAGAAUUUCUUAUAUGCUUUCAAUAUUGGUUUAACUAUGAUUCCAUAAAAGCUCUGCCCAUUGUACAAUUAUUCUUGUUCGUAUUGCAAAUUACAGAUGUUGUUAUUUCAGAUUUUGAACAACAAAUCAGUCAUUUUUUUUCUUUUCAGAUUCAAAACAAUAAAUAACCAAUUUAUGCCAGGCCUUUAGCAAACAAUAAUCAACUGGGUGUGAUAAUUGAUUUGAUAUAAAUAAGCAUGGAAUGAAUGGCACAUUUAUUGAGUUUGAGAGAAAAUUUUAUUAGUAUGAUUUUUACUACAUCAUAAAAGUGGAGAACUUGUGAGUCAUGAUUUUCUUGACAAGAAUGGUGAGCAAUAUGUUUGAAUUUUAAGGAUUAACAUUAGUUAAAACUAAUAAAUUUAUGUGGUGGAAUGCGUUCGUUGAGAAUUAAAAAUGGGAUUUAAAAUAUUUUGAGCGCUUUUCGCCACGUUCUUUCCCUUCUUGUCAUUAACGGUUGACAAUGAAAUUUUCUCAACCUCAUUAUCAUUGCUAUCUUCAACAUUACGGGAUAAAUUUGGAGCAUUUGAUGAAUUGAUUUCUAUAUUUUUUGUUUGUGACAUCGUAUUGCUGUUUAUUAUAGAAAAAAUAAUAAAUAAUUAUAAAUAAUCAUGCAAAUUACAUAGUUAUAAUACUAUGUAACAAAAUUAACUUAAAGGCAACCUAAAUGCUAAAUUUAACUCCUAUUAAUAAAAAAAAUUAUCAUACAAAUUACAUAAUUAUGAAUAUUAUGGAAUAAAUUAACUUAAAACAACCUAAAUCUAAAUUCAGCUCCUAUUAAUAAAAAAUAAUUAUAAAUAUUACAUAAUUAUAAAUAUUAUGUAACAAAUUAACUUAAAGGCAACCUAAAUACUAAAUUCAACUCCUAUUAAUAAACAAUUAUCAUUAUAUCAUACAAAAUUACAUAACUAUAAAUAUUAUGUAAUUAAGUUAAAGCAACCUAAAAUCUAAAUUCAACUCCCAUUAAUUAAGAAUAAUCAUACAAGCAUGGUAUCCAAGAAAAACAUUAAGCAUAUAUAUAACACCUAAUAAUAAUAAUGUCAAUUUCAUCAUUUGUUUUUUGAAAAAACAGCCAAAAAAAAGAUAAUACCUUGUGGUUGUGAUGGCCGAGUUGCCGCUGAGAAGGUGACGAAACAAUGGAGUGAGACGAGCUAUGAUGGUUGAUGCCAUCGCACGGUGGCUGUCGUUGAGAAGACGACCAAACGUUGGAGAGACGUUGGCUGUGACGGCUGUGCUUUGUGAGAAAUGAGAAGAGCUGACCAAGGGAGGUAAGAGGUUCCUAAAGGCGCAGUCAACACUACAGCGGUGGAUGGUGGCUGCUGCCGGAGAGACGAAAGGAGGUGCCGACUGCCGAGGUUCGUAGGUUGGCAGCAGUGAAUUGUUUCAGUGUCUGUGUUGUGUUUAGUUAUAAAAUCAAUACCCGGAUCUGCUUUUCCCAUACAUGCGGUCCGGGCCACAUGCGCCGAGUCUGGGCUGGAUCUGGUCCAGGUGCGCAUUUUUG
This 3019-nucleotide long non-coding RNA is filed under the name Citrus sinensis (sweet orange). RNAcentral's name for it is "long non-coding RNA (CSIN_LNC000265)". The record is from RNAcentral. Lineage: Eukaryota; Viridiplantae; Streptophyta; Magnoliopsida; Sapindales; Rutaceae.